This 402-nucleotide unclassified non-coding RNA is filed under the name soil metagenome. Its description in RNAcentral is "partial contains 5.8S ribosomal RNA, internal transcribed spacer 2, and large subunit ribosomal RNA". The stretch from base 1 to 121 matches the Rfam family "5.8S ribosomal RNA", at positions 35 to 154 of the family's 154-position model. The record is from RNAcentral.
GAUGAAGAACGCAGUGAAAUGCGAUAAGUAAUGUGAAUUGCAGAAUUCAGUGAAUCAUCGAAUCUUUGAACGCACCUUGCGCCCUUUGGCUAUUCCGAAGGGCAUGCCUGUUUGAGUAUCAUGAACACCUCAACUCUUCACGGCUUGCCGUGAUGAGUUUGGACUUUGGGGGUCUUGCUGGCCUACGAGCCAGCUCCUCUCAAAUGUAUUAGCUUGCCGGUGUUUGGUGGCAUCACAGGUGUGAUAACUAUCUACGCUUGUGGUUUUCCACUAGGUAACCUUCAGCAAUGGAGGUUCACCGGAGCUCACAAAUGUCUCUCCUUGCCAAGGACAGAUUUUGACCAUUUGAUCUCAAAUCAGGUAGGACUACCCGCUGAACUUAAGCAUAUCAAUAAGCGGAGA